CGAAGAAGAGUCUUCGGCCGAGCCGAGCUGCCGAGGACGGCGGAUGGAGUCUUGGAGAAGACAGGCUAUCAGCUAUGGAUCGUUGGGGCGUAGGGCUUCAUAGCCCCGUUGUCCGUUGCCCGUUGGCCACCAGGCCAAGCCUGGAUGCUGGAUGCCUGGCAGGCGGCAGCUAAUCUAUGAAUCCUAUGAUGGGCAGCUGCAGGCUGGAGCAGCUCGUAGGCCUCCGACCGGCUUCGGCGAUGGCGAUCCCAGACAGGAGCAUGCAGAGUGGAGGCCUUCCUUUGGGCCGGGGCCUUAGGCGACCGCCUCGGUCGCCUAAGGCUUGGGCCGGCCCUGU
This 337-nucleotide long non-coding RNA is filed under the name Phoenix dactylifera (date palm). RNAcentral describes it as "long non-coding RNA (PDAC_LNC020989)". Lineage: Eukaryota; Viridiplantae; Streptophyta; Magnoliopsida; Arecales; Arecaceae. The record is from RNAcentral.